Molecule: long non-coding RNA, 177 nt
Organism: Alosa sapidissima (American shad)
Lineage: Eukaryota; Metazoa; Chordata; Actinopteri; Clupeiformes; Clupeidae
Exons: 3
Source: RefSeq, a predicted model, not a curated record
UUUCUUAUUAUUUCAAGUUUGGCAAUGCAGAAUGUUGAACCUAGGCCAGGCCAGAAAGAUUUUGGCGAAAAUCUGUCACAACAGCUGGCAGGCAUUUCCGUCGAAAUUUCAGCCUCGCCUUCAGCUGCUCCAACUACUACUCUGUCAUCUUUUCUUCAAGAUUGGAAGAGCGUCCUG